GGGGUGUAUAGCUCAUUGGUACAGCAUUCGACUGUAGAUCGGAGGUCCCCGGUUAAACCGGGUAUCCCUU
Molecule: non-coding RNA, 70 nt
Organism: Trichonephila inaurata madagascariensis
Lineage: Eukaryota; Metazoa; Arthropoda; Arachnida; Araneae; Nephilidae
Source: the annotation of a GenBank genome assembly